GUGGGUUCUUCAGGUGGAGGAGCAGAAAGAAGUUGGACGUGCUCUCCCAACGACUUGUUGGUCAAUGCCCUUGUCAGCAGUGGCCGCACCUGCGUUCUUGUGUCCGAGGAGGACGAGGAGGCUUCGUACUUGGACCUAAAGCUCCGUGGGAAGUACUGUGUCUGCUUUGAUCCCCUGGAUGGCUCCUCCAACAUCGACUGCGGCAUGCCCACCGGAAUGGUAUGCGCACAAGUAAUUUCACCGCUAAAAAGGUUGAACGGAACACACAAUUAAUAAGAAGUUGGAGUCACUAUCUGACUUGAUUUGAUUGUCGGGCACAUGGAUAAAACAAGAUAGUCACAUCAGGAGAGGCGAUUUCAAAAGGAGCAUGAACCGCUGCAUGCCAGAUGACAAUGGAGGUGCUCGACUCAAGGCAGAGAUGAUCAUUAGGUGUCAAACCCACGUCCCCUCUGUCAUCUUCUAGAUGAAUUGCGUUAUAGAAAGUGGAAAAUUGUUGCUUGUUAUAUUGAUAUGCAGACUACCAAAUUGGGAAAUUUUUGAUGAUGAUGGAACUACAUUGUAAAAAGUGAAUCUUAUUAGGAUCACAAAUUUGUGUUGCUGAAAUUUCAUGACAACAUAGAGGGGAUUACAGAAGAGAGCUGCCAAAUAAAGAGCUGAAGAAGCCCAUCUCAUCGCCAUAUACCACCUGUUGCAAAUUAAAGAUAGCUA
This is a long non-coding RNA of Triticum dicoccoides, 708 nucleotides long. RefSeq lists it as uncharacterized. Lineage: Eukaryota; Viridiplantae; Streptophyta; Magnoliopsida; Poales; Poaceae. The transcript has 6 exons. The record is from RefSeq and is a predicted model, not a curated record.